UCUGCUAAAUUCUCCGUUCAAGCGCUCCAUUCUUGUUGAGGCAGAGAACUGACUUGAGCGUCGGAGGGUCUUGUCGGAGCAACCCCACCUCCGGUUUAGACUUUCCUUGCAGGUCCCAGCGGCGACCGCGGCUUCCCCGACUCCAGCUUCUCCGACGCAAGCUUCUCCGACGCAAGCGAAUUUUUGCACCAAAAGGAUUGGCACU
Molecule: long non-coding RNA, 205 nt
Filed under: Elaeis guineensis (African oil palm)
Lineage: Eukaryota; Viridiplantae; Streptophyta; Magnoliopsida; Arecales; Arecaceae
Description: long non-coding RNA (EGUI_LNC050903)
Source: RNAcentral